ACAGCCUUUCGUAUCAACUUAAACAGGUGUAAGGCUCAAAUUUCUGCUUAAACAAACAGAAAUUCUGCAAAUGAAAGAGAAGCAAACAAUUCAUGGUGAGGAAACAUACACUGAAACCCCAACAUCAAAAGAAUUCCGCCCGUGAAAGAUUCCACCACCACUUGAAGCUAAUAAGCACAAGACACACACGGAAUCAAUGAUGUGGUAAACUAAGUCUAACAGUUUCUCACAAAUGAUAGAGAAAUUGACUACAUUUACUUCAGGACUUCCUGUCCCCUUUAUCUGACAGAACAUUUCUUGCACCUCCACAACAUUCGCAAUUUAUUACAGAAUUUGAAUGUCAGUUCUGACUGAUACAUGCUCCAACAAGUACAUCCAUCUUGAUGGUCCUGAACAUUGGACAACUCUCUUCACUACAACUUCCUUGACUUCCAAUGAACAAGACAGAUCAAAAUAAAAGGGAGUGCUUAUCCUGUACAAUCUAUCCCCUAAGCUUUAGCUUUUGUUUGCCAGGAAUUACAACAUUGAGCAUCAAAAUAAAGCUCCUUGGAAGAAUAUAAAAUGAAAAAGGACAUCCCAGUCACCAUCUCCCAUGUAUAUUUUCCAUCAUGAUACAAAUUUAUGCAUAUGACUUUAGGUUUAAUGAGAUUGGAGUC
This is a long non-coding RNA of Populus euphratica (Euphrates poplar), 656 nucleotides long. RefSeq lists it as uncharacterized. The transcript is spliced from 2 exons. The record is from RefSeq and is a predicted model, not a curated record. Lineage: Eukaryota; Viridiplantae; Streptophyta; Magnoliopsida; Malpighiales; Salicaceae.